UCGUACAACAGGAGGGGCCGGGGCUGUCGCUGACCUUUACGGGUCGUGCACGCCUCGCCCCCCUUACAUCCACCUCACCUUUUGUGCAUCACCGCGUGGGCUCCUCUAGUAGGGGCUUGCGUUCUUCACACGAAACGAGUUUUUAUAUAGAAUGUCUUCUUUGCGAUGGUACGCAAUCAAUACAACUUUCAACAACGGAUCUCUUGGCUCUCGCAUCGAUGAAGAACGCAGCGAAAUGCGAUACGUAAUGUGAAUUGCAGAAUUCAGUGAAUCAUCGAAUCUUUGAACGCACCUUGCGCCCCUUGGCAUUCCAAGGGGCACACCCGUUUGAGUGUCGUGAAAUCCUCAACCUUCACCCCUUUGAUCGGGUGAAGGCUUGGACUUUGGAGGCUUUUGCCGGCGUCUAUCGCACGUCGGCUCCUCUUAAACGGAUUAGCUGGGUCUCCUUUGUCGAUCCUUGACGUGAUAAGAUUAGCUUCUACGUCCGGGGUUUCAGAGUAGAGACCCGCUUCCAACGACCGAUUGAACCC
Molecule: small RNA, 530 nt
Filed under: uncultured Lactarius
Lineage: Eukaryota; Fungi; Basidiomycota; Agaricomycetes; Russulales; Russulaceae
Description: eukaryotic LSU rRNA
Rfam family: 5.8S ribosomal RNA (bases 184-337)
Source: RNAcentral